UAAAGCCCACGUGCCCACA
Molecule: non-coding RNA, 19 nt
Filed under: Mus musculus (house mouse)
Lineage: Eukaryota; Metazoa; Chordata; Mammalia; Rodentia; Muridae
Source: RNAcentral